Molecule: ribosomal RNA, 935 nt
Filed under: Trametes pubescens
Lineage: Eukaryota; Fungi; Basidiomycota; Agaricomycetes; Polyporales; Polyporaceae
Description: LSU rRNA
Rfam family: Eukaryotic large subunit ribosomal RNA
Source: RNAcentral
GCAUAUCAAUAAGCGGAGGAAAAGAAACUAACAAGGAUUCCCCUAGUAACUGCGAGUGAAGCGGGAAAAGCUCAAAUUUAAAAUCUGGCGGUCUUUGGCCGUCCGAGUUGUAGUCUGGAGAAGCGUCUUCCGCGUUGGACCGUGUACAAGUCUCUUGGAACAGAGCGUCAUAGAGGGUGAGAAUCCCGUCUUUGACACGGACUACCAAUGCUUUGUGAUGCGCUCUCAAAGAGUCGCGUUGUUUGGGAAUGCAGCGCAAAAUGGGAGGUGAAUUCCUUCUAAAGCUAAAUAUUGGCGAGAGACCGAUAGCGAACAAGUACCGUGAGGGAAAGAUGAAAAGCACUUUGGAAAGAGAGUUAAACAGUACGUGAAAUUGCUAAAAGGGAAACGCUUGAAGUCAGUCGCGUCGUCCGGAACUCAGCUUUGCUUCGGCUUAGUGCACUUUCCGGUUGACGGGCCAGCAUCGAUUUUGACCGCUGGAAAAGGGCUGGAGGAAUGUGGCACCUUCGGGUGUGUUAUAGCCUUCAGUCGCAUACAGCGGUUGGGAUCGAGGAACGCAGCGCGCCUUAUGGCUGGGGUUCGCCCACAUUCGCGCUUAGGAUGCUGGCAUAAUGGCUUUAAACGACCCGUCUUGAAACACGGACCAAGGAGUCUAACAUGCCUGCGAGUGUUUGGGUGGAAAACCCGAGCGCGUAAUGAAAGUGAAAGUUGAGACCUCUGUCGUGGAGGGCAUCGACGCCCGGACCUGACGUUUUCUGAAGGAUCCGCGGUAGAGCAUGUAUGUUGGGACCCGAAAGAUGGUGAACUAUGCCUGAAUAGGGUGAAGCCAGAGGAAACUCUGGUGGAGGCUCGUAGCGAUUCUGACGUGCAAAUCGAUCGUCAAAUUUGGGUAUAGGGGCGAAAGACUAAUCGAACCAUCUAGUAGCUGGUUCUGC